GCCCGUAUGGCCAAGUUGGUAAGGCGUCGCACUUGUAAUCCAAUUCCUUAUCAGCGUGCCGUGGAAGGGAGUCUACGGCACGAAGGGGGAGGGAGGGAAGAGAUGCGAAGAUCCAUAGUUCGAUUCUGUGUGUGGGCA
Choiromyces venosus 120613-1 is the source of this 138-nucleotide non-coding RNA. The record is from the annotation of a GenBank genome assembly. NCBI's taxonomy places the organism in Eukaryota, Fungi, Ascomycota, Pezizomycetes, Pezizales, Tuberaceae.